Molecule: ribosomal RNA, 373 nt
Filed under: uncultured bacterium
Lineage: Bacteria
Description: bacterial SSU rRNA
Rfam family: Bacterial small subunit ribosomal RNA
Source: RNAcentral
GUAGGGACCAAGCGUUGUUCGGAUUUACUGGGCGUAAAGGGCGCGUAGGCGGCAUAUUAAGUCAGCUGUGAAAUCUCCGAGCUUAACUCGGAACUGUCAGCUGAUACUGAUGUGCUAGAGUGCAGAAGGGGCAAUCGGAAUUCUUGGUGUAGCGGUGAAAUGCGUAGAUAUCAAGAGGAACACCUGAGGUGAAGACGGGUUGCUGGGCUGACACUGACGCUGAUAGCGCGAAAGCCAGGGGAGCAAACGGGAUUAGAUACCCCGGUAGUCCUGGCCCUAAACGAUGAAUACUUGGUGUCUGGAGUUAUUAGUGCUCCGGGUGCCGUCGCUAACGUUUUUAGUAUUCCGCCUGGGGAGUACGCUCGCAAGAGUG